This 83-nucleotide ribosomal RNA is filed under the name Gossypium hirsutum (cotton). The record is from RNAcentral. Lineage: Eukaryota; Viridiplantae; Streptophyta; Magnoliopsida; Malvales; Malvaceae.
UAUUCUGGUUAAAAGGCGUAGAGGAACAACACCAAUCCAUCCCGAACUUUUAUUAGAGUCUACUGCGGUGACGAUACUGUAGG